This is a long non-coding RNA of Gallus gallus (chicken), 744 nucleotides long. RefSeq lists it as uncharacterized. The transcript has 2 exons. The record is from RefSeq and is a predicted model, not a curated record. Lineage: Eukaryota; Metazoa; Chordata; Aves; Galliformes; Phasianidae.
GCCGGAUGUCGUCCCUCAGCUGGCGGUACUCCUCGGCCGUGGCCACCAAAUGGGGUCCGAUGGCCACCAAUGUCCCCAGAGCCUCCCGCAGUCCCUCCAGCUCCGUCUGGGUGCGGCUGAGAGCCGCCUGCAGGUGCUCCGGGCUGUACGUCUCCGCCAGCAGCGUCAGCUCCUCCAACCUACGGCACACCGACAUCCCGUAAUAGCGGCAGUGACGUCAUCGCCGCGACGGUGACGUCAUCACAGGGACGUCACUGCAGCGACGUCGCCGCUGUCGCCAUCGCGGCGCCACCGCCGUUGGGGGGGGUGGGAGGGGCCAAUGGGGGGGAUCCAACCAAUGGGAGGAGGGAAUGGACAGAAUGGGCGGGGCCAACCGAUGGGAGGAGCCAAUGGGGGGACUCCACUGGUGGGAGGAGCCAAUGGGGCAAUCCCACCAAUGGGAGGAGUCAGAGAGGAGCGUGGGUGGGACCUCAUGGGAGGAACCAAUGGGAGGAGUGGGCAGGAGCAAUCAAUGGGAGGAACCAAUGAGGGAAGUGGGCGGGUCCUUGGGAUGGAAAUGACAGGGGAACCAACCAAUGGCAGGAGGCGGUGGGCCAAGUGGGCGGUGCCGCGCAACUGUCACUCACCGCGCCUUGAGCAGCAUGGCCGCCGCCUUGGCCUGCAGGUAGCGCCCCCUGCACCGCUCCACCUCGGCCUGCUGGGCCUGCAGGGCCUUCAGCUGCCCCAACAGCACCGAGCAGCGCA